This 465-nucleotide ribosomal RNA is filed under the name uncultured bacterium. RNAcentral describes it as "partial 16S ribosomal RNA". It matches the Rfam family "Bacterial small subunit ribosomal RNA", at positions 338 to 795 of the family's 1533-position model. The record is from RNAcentral.
CCUACGGGAGGCAGCAGUGGGGAAUAUUGCACAAUGGGCGAAAGCCUGACGCAGCGACGCCGCGUGAGGGAUGAAGGUCUUCGGAUCGUAAACCUCUGUCAGCAGGGAAGAACGGUCACUGUGCUAAUCAGCAGUGAAUUGACGGUACCUGACUAAGAAGCCCCGGCUAACUACGUGCCAGCAGCCGCGGUAAUACGUAGGGGGCAAGCGUUAUCCGGAUUUACUGGGUGUAAAGGGAGCGUAGGCGGCGAUGCAAGUCAGAAGUGAAAGCCCGGGGCUCAACUCCGGGACUGCUUUUGAAACUGUAUGGCUAGAUUGCAGGAGAGGCAAGUGGAAUUCCUAGUGUAGCGGUGAAAUGCGUAGAUAUUAGGAGGAACACCAGUGGCGAAGGCGGCUUGCUGGACUGUAAAUGACGCUGAGGCUCGAAAGCGUGGGGAGCAAACAGGAUUAGAUACCCCAGUAGUC